GAUUUUGUAAGAAGGGUUUUGCGGUAGCACUUAGCACAUACUCAGUCUUCCUCAGAUAACAUGCUGCUUCUCCUGUAAAAUAUCCAGGGUGAAAGCAGUGGUAGAUAACACAGCGAAAAUGAUAUUGAUCAACAGCUGUGCGUGAACAGGGCUUGGCUUGUCCUCUCUGCCUGCAGGCCCCCUCAGGAGCCGCAGACAUUAGCGACCCAAGUGGGAUCAGUGUCUUGCUUUUUUUUUUUAACAAUUAGUUUUUAUAGAGAGCUUCCCUGUGGGUUACACCAUCAGAGAGACCAUCAGCUCCCACCGGUCCCGGGGUAGGGACUGCAGGCGCUGUCAGCGCGCUCUCCAUCCUGUGUACGAAAACGUUUGACGUAAAGCUCCAAGCCGCACCGGGAGGUUUAUUCAGGGUCCUUGCUGACCUGUGGUCGGGCACCACAAAUAUACAGCAGGGCUCAAGGGCAGGAAGCAGACAUUUGCGCUCAAGUCUGAGAUCCAGCUUUUCAUCCUGAUCUCUUGCUGUGGCUAUGGCUUCAGCAUCUGUAUCUGCAGAAACUUCAGGAGCCCCUUCCAAUCAGUUAGCAGAAGUUGCCCGACGCUGGAGACCGGGGCUCUGCCCUGCUUCCUUCAAGCCUGGAAGGUGAUCCCGUGUGUGCAGGAUCACGGCGUGGUGAUGGCCAGGGCUCAGCAGCACGAACAGGGUUGCUCGAUGGUUAGGAGCUCGCUCAGCUGGUUGCCUGCCUGCUGGAUAGACCCGCCAUGGCGCUAGCGAG
RNAcentral lists this long non-coding RNA (770 nucleotides) under Apteryx owenii (little spotted kiwi). RNAcentral's name for it is "lncRNA (ENSAOWG00000016738.1)". Lineage: Eukaryota; Metazoa; Chordata; Aves; Apterygiformes; Apterygidae. The record is from RNAcentral.